Molecule: ribosomal RNA, 439 nt
Filed under: uncultured bacterium
Lineage: Bacteria
Description: bacterial SSU rRNA
Rfam family: Bacterial small subunit ribosomal RNA
Source: RNAcentral
GCUUAACGCGAAGAACCUUACCAGGUCUUGACAUCCCAUUGACCACUAUGGAGACAUAGUUUUCCCUUCGGGGACAACGGUGACAGGUGGUGCAUGGUUGUCGUCAGCUCGUGUCGUGAGAUGUUGGGUUAAGUCCCGCAACGAGCGCAACCCUUGAUCUUAGUUGCCAGCAUUUAGUUGGGCACUCUAAGGUGACUGCCGGUGACAAACCGGAGGAAGGUGGGGAUGACGUCAAAUCAUCAUGCCCCUUAUGACCUGGGCUACACACGUGCUACAAUGGACGGUACAAAGAGUCGCAAGACCGCGAGGUGGAGCUAAUCUCAUAAAACCGUUCUCAGUUCGGAUUGUAGGCUGCAACUCGCCUACAUGAAGCUGGAAUCGCUAGUAAUCGCGGAUCAGCAUGCCGCGGUGAAUACGUUCCCGGGUCUUGUACACACCG